Mytilus californianus (California mussel) is the source of this 3584-nucleotide long non-coding RNA. RefSeq lists it as uncharacterized. NCBI's taxonomy places the organism in Eukaryota, Metazoa, Mollusca, Bivalvia, Mytilida, Mytilidae. The transcript has 2 exons. The record is from RefSeq and is a predicted model, not a curated record.
GUUAAACCAAUGUUUACAAUAAAUCCAUGUGUAUGUAAACCCAAUGUGUAUGAAAACCCGUGUUUAAGUUAAACCAAUGUGUAUGUUAAACCAAUGUGUAUAUAUGUUAAACAAAUGAAUGUGUAUGUAGUUAAGUCAAAUAACAAGAUAUCAUAUUAAUUAAACAAGGAUGUUUUUGAGAGAUUAACCUAAAUAUCAAAAUCUUUCUAAAAAAAGAUUUUAUCAUUAAGUAAAAAGAUGUUGUGUGUUCACGGAAAUCUAACUUAUAUUUUAUUGUCGGUUAUAGUAAAAGGUUACAAUUGCGCAAUUAUUUGUUUACAUUUCACCGGGAAGUUUUUGAACCCAAGAUGGUAGUAAGAAUAAAAAUCUGUGAGGCUUCUGAUUGGAUGGUAUGCCUUUAAUGUAUUAAUUUUAUGAAAAAUAAACCAUUUAUGUGCAAAAAUAAUCACAAUUUGGAAUGUUUGAUUUGACAUUCUCAGUAAAAAUAAUUUUUGGGGGGAAUAUGCUAACUGAAAUUUUUGCUGUGUCAUUUAGUGCGGAUUUUGGAAGCGUCCAUAACAACUGCUAUUUAAGGCAAUUUCCGCCGCAUAAGCAUGUUGUUUUUUUUCACUGAAAUAAAUUCUUAUUAUGUCUACUUUCAGAUUCUGGCUUUAGUUUCUCUGCAAUUUAUAUACUUUUUUUUAUUAGGAUUCAAAGAGACAGGGUACCCUAUGGAAAAUGCAUUGUAAAUAAUUGCGCAAUUGUAACCUAUGGAAUUUCUCUACUUUCACUUUCGAUAUUGGAUUUUCAGAAAAUCGGACUCUGAAUCAAACAUUCAAUUGAUUUUGAUUGAUUUUUAACCAAUAUGGAUGACUUCUGGAGAGACUUGCAAUACAAAUUCAACAAAAAAACCCAGGGAAGUGGCAAUGGGAAGGGGUGUAUUGAGUGUAAGGGCACAAAAAAGGGAAAAUCUGGUUAUGGCAUACAGGUUGUGAAAUGGCCACAGGGGAGGAAAAAGGGAGGCUGCACAUAGAGUGGCAUAUAUGAUAAGGCAUAAAUUGACCAGAUAUGAUAUGACAAGAGUGGAUGAGAACAAUAAUGCAAUAGAGUGUAGCCAUAUUUAUCACAAUGCAUCAUGUGUAAAUGUAAACCACCUUGUGUUAGAACCUCAUGCUAUUAACUUGGACCGACUGCACUGCAAAAACCAGGCACUACGUUCAAAAAGUCACAAACCAUAUUGUUUAAUUAAAAAGUAUUGAUUUUAUUUAUUUUCGAAUAGAAAUCUUCUUCGGCUUCUUGCUCUUAACAUACGGAUGGUCGUCGUGUUUUGAUUUUGAUGAUUUCAUGUCGCGGUCAGCUUUCAUUAGCAUAUUCUUCUCAUAUUGUAUUAUUUCGCUUAGUUUUUCAUAUAAUUUGUAUAACUUGCACCUUUUUUUCACUUCGAAAUACUUUAUAAUUGACACUUUGUUUGUGUUUUUUCUGUAAAAUGUCAGUUUUUUUAAUAUUUUUUAGAGCCUUGUAUGCACUACUGCCUACGUGAAUAUCUUAGUGUAGAGCACUACAGAGUUCUAAUAUAGACUCCCCUGGACCGUAAUUGACGCUGUGAGCUGCUGCAUGUGCUCGACCAGACAUGUUUUUCUUGAAGGUAACAUUUGAUAGUAAUGAUCGUCUUAAGCACCUAUUAAAUCCCUCGACAAAAUUAGUGUUCAUGUUUAACCGUGUCUUGUCAAGAACUUUUGAACCAAGUCUCUUAUUAAUUUGUUUCCGAAGCAAGUCCAAGUUCUCAUUGCAGCUACUUAUUUUAAAAGUAUUUUGUAAGAAAGGACGUCCUUUCAACCAUGAUCCCUGAAAUCCUUUACAGGCAAAGGAAUUCUUUCUGCACCUGGCAUGAUUUCCCAUGUAGCAUUUAGCUAUGGCAUCCACUGUGUGAGAAAUUUUAUUCUUAACUUUAUAAAAGUCUUCAGCAUAAAAUUUGUAGGCUAGUGCUAGUUCUUUAUUACAUCUCUCAGUCGGAUCAACAGAAAAAUUAAGUUUUCUGGUUAAACAUUAUUUAUUCCCUCAUUGUGUAUGUCAGGGCAGCUUUAUAGGCAGAACUGUCUGCAUCGGUUACUAAAUGUUCAAUUUCUAUUUCAUCUUCCUUUAAAUCAAGGAGGCAUUCCCUGGCCCAGGUAUACUUAUCUCCUAUACUUUUAACCAUGGGUAUGUUUGCACUGCAUUCAUCUGUGCAAUCUUCAUGAAGUCGGCCUGCGUCAUUGUCUACGUCAAGACUAGAAUGUAUGGAACAGAGCUUGUUUUUGAUAUUUAAUGCUAAUAUAUUGUGUUUUGAUGUUUCAUUUUCAGCUGCCGUAUAAACUAUUUGUGUUGCCGGUUGAAAAGGAGUGCGGCCUAUACCGGAAUACAGUGGAUUAUUGUACACUCCAUCCAUUUGAACACUUAUAGCAUGUGGAUUUUCCUUGCCUCUUAACUUAUUUAUUUUUAUAAUAUCAUUUCUUCUUCUAUUCAUAUCCUGUUUAUUAAUUUGUUCAAUUUGUUUCAUGACUGUAUUUGCUCUUCUUUGUAGGCUAGAUGUUACUGGAACCAAGAUGUUACCACUUAAGAAGAUUUUUUGUAUACCGGUGUAAGCAAUGGGUGUUUGACUCAGGCCGACAUGAAUUGCAGUGUCAAGUUUUGAUGCUUUUCUGCCAGGUUUCCCAGUUUCCAAUUCUUCAUACAGGGUGUAUGGCUUUGAUUUGUAAUCACACUUUGUGCAUAUUAGCAGUUGUCGCGUUCCAAAGCCUGUUUUCUCUUCAUUUUCUAAAUCACAUAGCAGAAUACCUUCACACUGUGGAUUUCUCAAUUGAUGUUCUUUAAAUGCUGCAUUCCACAUUUCCUCCAUCUUGUAUAUGCAUAUUGCUCGGUUGGAAUUGUAAUCUGGUCUAAAAAAUACAAAAAAUACUCAAAAUAAGACUUAGCAAAGAACUUAUUCCUAUUUACUGAUUUUGCAAAUAGAGGUACCUGCCCCUUAGUUGACAGAAUUUUUUCUCUGUGAAUUAAGAUGGUACAUAGACUUUUAAAUCUUGCAAUAUGUAUGUAUGUAGAUUCUUCUUUUUAUUAAUAUAUUUGUUGUUAAAUUCAUAAAAGUAACAGUUUAUAUAUUUAUACUGUUCUUUUUUAAUUAAAAAAUGAUGUAUUGUGGUUCAAAAUGUGCAAUUUUUUGUAUCUCGCACUCUAUAAUUUCCAUAUUUAUGUCUUUCUUUGUAAAGAUAUCUCACUUAAACUGUUUAUAAGUCAAUAUUAUUUAAUUGUUAACUUACCUUUUGUCCUUUUUAGCAUUUUUCCUGAUUGGUUUGGUAAGAAGCACCUCCUCAGUCAAUGGACGGAGUAAUCUUGCAGCACGGCAAACCCUUUUGGAUUUCUCCUUGGAUUAGCAUACGGAUCAUUCACUACUAAAUUGUGUUUUUCUUUGUUUGUAUUGCUGAAUAAAUCUUCCACUGGCCGCAAACAUAGGAUGAAGUAUAGAAAUAUCAAUUUCUCAAAGAAGACUUCACAGAUCACUUCCUAAUUUGUCGUGUGUAAUAGACAUAGAUAGUUGUAUAUGCAGACAAAAUUAAAGUCUCAUUUGAAAA